Molecule: long non-coding RNA, 129 nt
Organism: Thalassophryne amazonica
Lineage: Eukaryota; Metazoa; Chordata; Actinopteri; Batrachoidiformes; Batrachoididae
Exons: 3
Source: RefSeq, a predicted model, not a curated record
GGAAACAAUUUAGAAUUUUGACCCCUGAUGAGUAAAAAGUCAAGCGAUCAGAUGUCAUGACCUACAUUUAAUAAUGAUGUCAUAGGUCACGUGGAAGUUCCCCCUAUCUGUGUGAGUCAUGCUGGAAAA